This 292-nucleotide long non-coding RNA is filed under the name Penaeus japonicus. RNAcentral's name for it is "uncharacterized LOC122254307". Lineage: Eukaryota; Metazoa; Arthropoda; Malacostraca; Decapoda; Penaeidae. The record is from RNAcentral.
CCUUGUGACUCCGCCUUCAACCAGACAGCUCCGCCUACUGUGGACUGUAUAUAUAAACAGCUUUCGUCUUUCGGGAACAACACACUACUGUACAACCAUCACGAUGCAACGUCUUCUUGUUCUCGCCUGCCUGGUGGCCGUGGUCGUCGCCGACAGCUACAAGACUCCCAUCCCAAUCCUGAAGGACGACCGCACACAGAACGCUUAUGGCGAGUACACCUUCGACUUCGAGACUGGAAACGGCAUCGCCAGGAACGAGGCUGGAAGGCAGGCUGAUGGACAGGAGUCCUCA